RNAcentral lists this ribosomal RNA (873 nucleotides) under uncultured marine group I thaumarchaeote. Its description in RNAcentral is "SSU rRNA". It matches the Rfam family "Archaeal small subunit ribosomal RNA", at positions 23 to 904 of the family's 1478-position model. Lineage: Archaea; Thermoproteati; Nitrososphaerota. The record is from RNAcentral.
CUGACUGCUAUCGGAUUGAUACUAAGCCAUGCGAGUCUUUGUAGUAAUACAAGGCAGACGGCUCAGUAACACGUAGUCAACCUACCCUAUGGACGAGAAUAAUCUCGGGAAACUGAGCAUAAUUCUCGGUAGAUCAUAAUGCCUGGAAUGGUUUAUGGUUAAAAUGAUUCUUCGCCAUAGGAUGGGACUGCGGCCUAUCAGCUUGUUGGUGAGGUAAUGGCCCACCAAGGCGAUUACAGGUACGGGCUCUGAGAGGAGAAGCCCGGAGAUGGGUACUGAGACACGGACCCAGGCCCUAUGGGGCGCAGCAGGCGAGAAAACUUUGCAAUGUGCGAAGGCACGACAAGGUUAAUCCGAGUGAUUUCUGCUAAAGAAAUCUUUUACCAGUCGUAAAACCACUGGCGAAUAAGGGGUGGGCAAGUUCUGGUGUCAGCCGCCGCGGUAAAACCAGCACCUCAAGUGGUCAGGAUGAUUAUUGGGCCUAAAGCAUCCGUAGCCUGCUCUGUAAGUUUUCGGUUAAAUCUGUAUGCUCAACAUACAGGCCGCCGGGAAUACUGCAGGGCUAGGGAGUGGGAGAGGUAGACGGUACUCGGGAGGAAGUGGUAAAAUGCUUUGAUCUCUCGAUGACCACCUGUGGCGAAGGCGGUCUACCAGAACACGUCCGACGGUGAGGGAUGAAAGCUGGGGGAGCAAACCGGAUUAGAUACCCGGGUAGUCCCAGCCGUAAACUAUGCAAACUAAGUGAUGCAUUGGCUUGUGGCCAAUGCAGUAUUUCAGGGAAGCCGUUAAGUUUGCCGCCUGGGAAGUACGUACGCAAGUAUGAAACUUAAAGGAAUUGGCGGGGAGCACCACAAGGGUGAAGCCUGCGGUUCA